GUCGUGUAAAGAUAAAUAAAUAUGUUAGAAUAUUUUAAUAAGAAAUAAGCGAUAGAGAAAAAAAACAUGGGUUAUGCUUUUUAUAUUUAUUUAUUGUUAAAAAAAUAAGUAAUCAAAAUUGAAUAAGUAAAAAAAAAUUCAGAUUUUUACAUUACUAAAAGAAUCACCCCCCCCGUGAAAAACAAAGUUAUCUCUCCCUCCCCACAUGUUUGACACAUUAAUACUUUCCUUUAACCAUUUAAAUAAAACAUGUGAUAAUACAGCAAAUACAACUACAAUAACAUUUAUAAAACACAAAAAGUACACCUGGUACUGAAUCAUUCAUAACAAAGCAUAACAUCAUAUAAUACUAACUAAACUAAUCAUAAAAAAAUAGGUAC
This 380-nucleotide long non-coding RNA is filed under the name Mytilus galloprovincialis (Mediterranean mussel). Lineage: Eukaryota; Metazoa; Mollusca; Bivalvia; Mytilida; Mytilidae. The record is from RNAcentral.